MicroRNA precursor from Prunus persica (peach), 105 nucleotides. It matches the Rfam family "MIR6274 microRNA precursor family". Lineage: Eukaryota; Viridiplantae; Streptophyta; Magnoliopsida; Rosales; Rosaceae. The record is from Rfam.
GGAUAACACGUUUUGCUAUUUCCGGCUAAUAACACAAUGACAGGUAUGAUAACUUUUCCAUAUGCCAUUGUGUUAUUGGUCGGAGAUAGCAAAACAGUACUAUCC